RNAcentral lists this ribosomal RNA (84 nucleotides) under Athelia decipiens. Its description in RNAcentral is "partial 5.8S ribosomal RNA". It matches the Rfam family "5.8S ribosomal RNA", at positions 73 to 154 of the family's 154-position model. From Rfam's summary of the family: 5.8S ribosomal RNA (5.8S rRNA) is a component of the large subunit of the eukaryotic ribosome. It is transcribed by RNA polymerase I as part of the 45S precursor that also contains 18S and 28S rRNA. Functionally, it is thought that 5.8S rRNA may be involved in ribosome translocation. The record is from RNAcentral. Lineage: Eukaryota; Fungi; Basidiomycota; Agaricomycetes; Atheliales; Atheliaceae.
UGCAGAUUUUCAGUGAAUCAUCGAAUCUUUGAACGCACCUUGCGCUCCCUGGUAUUCCGGGGAGCAUGCCUGUUUGAGUGUCAU